This 410-nucleotide long non-coding RNA is filed under the name Capsicum annuum. RNAcentral describes it as "long non-coding RNA (CANN_LNC005650)". Lineage: Eukaryota; Viridiplantae; Streptophyta; Magnoliopsida; Solanales; Solanaceae. The record is from RNAcentral.
CGAAACUCAUCGAACCUCCAGUGUGCAAAGAGCCACCUGUUUGAGACGUUGUAUUUGCCUUUGCCCGUUCCCUCCUCGCCCUAUAUUUAGGAGUAUCCCAUUUUUCUAAGAACUGGACCCACACAUAGCAUUCAGUUAACCAUAUUUUCCAAGUUCCUCCAGGCCUCAUACAAGUGUUCUUUGAUCCGUAAAGCUACUUUCAACUUGAAUAUGCGUUGUAUUUCAUUUUCAUAACAAAAAUUUCAUGCACACUUUGUCUGUAAAAUAGUUUAAUAUAAAGUCAUGAAAUGAGUUAACGAAUACAAAGGUAAAUUCAUCAUUGAUAGCAUACUGAAAUGGUAAAUUCUUUGAUUUUGAUUAAAUUCUUUGAUUUUGAUUAUACCAUAAACUGUUUUCACAUAAGAAUUCUG